RNAcentral lists this transfer RNA (82 nucleotides) under Candidatus Nealsonbacteria bacterium RIFOXYB1_FULL_40_15. RNAcentral's name for it is "tRNA-Leu". It matches the Rfam family "tRNA". From Rfam's summary of the family: Transfer RNA (tRNA) molecules are approximately 80 nucleotides in length. Their secondary structure includes four short double-helical elements and three loops (D, anti-codon, and T loops). Further hydrogen bonds mediate the characteristic L-shaped molecular structure. tRNAs have two regions of fundamental functional importance: the anti-codon, which is responsible for specific mRNA codon recognition, and the 3' end, to which the tRNAs corresponding amino acid is attached (by aminoacyl-tRNA synthetases). tRNAs cope with the degeneracy of the genetic code in two manners: having more than one tRNA (with a specific anti-codon) for a particular amino acid; and 'wobble' base-pairing, i.e. permitting non-standard base-pairing at the 3rd anti-codon position. Lineage: Bacteria; Candidatus Nealsoniibacteriota. RNAcentral also lists the same sequence under 2 other names. The record is from RNAcentral.
GCGGACGUGGCGCAAUGGUAGACGCAGCAGCUUGAGGAGCUGUGCCCUUACGGGCAUGUGGGUUCAAGUCCCACCGUCCGCA